GACGAACGCUGGCGGCGUGCUUAACACAUGCAAGUCGAACGAGACCCCCGCUUCGGUGGGGUGUUCUAGUGGCGAACGGGUGAGUAACACGUGGGCAACCUGCCCCCGGCUCUGGGAUAACUCCAAGAAAUUGGGGCUAAUACCGGAUAUGACCGCUGACCGCAUGGUCUGGUGGUGGAAAGAUUUAUCGGCUGGGGAUGGGCCCGCGGCCUAUCAGCUUGUUGGUGGGUAGUGGCCUACCAAGGCGACGACGGGUAGCCGGCCUGAGAGGGGGACCGGCCAGAAUGGGCCUGAGACACGGCCCAGCCUCCUACGGGAGGCAGCAGUGGGGAAUAUUGCGCAAUGGGCGGAAGCCUGACGCAGCGACGCCGCGUGGGGGAUGACGGCCUUCGGGUUGUAAACCUCUUUCAGCAGGGACGAAGCCGCAAGGUGACGGUACCUGCAGAAGAAGCACCGGCCAACUACGUGCCAGCAGCCGCCGUAA
This 484-nucleotide ribosomal RNA is filed under the name uncultured bacterium. RNAcentral's name for it is "partial 16S ribosomal RNA". It matches the Rfam family "Bacterial small subunit ribosomal RNA", at positions 28 to 523 of the family's 1533-position model. The record is from RNAcentral.